CCUACGGGAGGCUGCAGUGGGGAAUAUUGGACAAUGGGGGGAACCCUGAUCCAGCCAUGCCGCGUGUGUGAAGAAGGCCCUCGGGUUGUAAAGCACUUUCAGUGAGGAAGAACGCCUGGUGGUUAAUACCCAUCAGGAAAGACAUCACUCACAGAAGAAGCACCGGCUAACUCCGUGCCAGCAGCCGCGGUAAUACGGAGGGUGCGAGCGUGAAUCGGAAUUACUGGGCGUAAAGCGAGCGUAGGUGGCUUGAUAAGCCGGUUGUGAAAGCCCCGGGCUCAACCUGGGAACGGCAUCCGGAACUGUCAAGCUAGAGUGCAGGAGAGGAAGGUAGAAUUCCCGGUGUAGCGGUGAAAUGCGUAGAGAUCGGGAGGAAUACCAGUGGCGAAGGCGGCCUUCUGGACUGACACUGACACUGAGGUGCGAAAGCGUGGGUAGCAAACAGGAUUAGAUACCCCUGUAGUC
This 465-nucleotide ribosomal RNA is filed under the name Vreelandella stevensii. RNAcentral describes it as "partial 16S ribosomal RNA". It matches the Rfam family "Bacterial small subunit ribosomal RNA", at positions 338 to 795 of the family's 1533-position model. Lineage: Bacteria; Pseudomonadati; Pseudomonadota; Gammaproteobacteria; Oceanospirillales; Halomonadaceae. The record is from RNAcentral.